Long non-coding RNA from Eubalaena glacialis (North Atlantic right whale), 1774 nucleotides. RefSeq lists it as uncharacterized. The record is from RefSeq and is a predicted model, not a curated record. The transcript has 5 exons. NCBI's taxonomy places the organism in Eukaryota, Metazoa, Chordata, Mammalia, Artiodactyla, Balaenidae.
GGGGAGGCUGCAGCCCCAGCCCAGCCCCAAACGCUGGGUUGGAACUUACCGAGUGUGCGUUUUAAUUCUGUCUCAUUCCCCGGCCGGGAGCCCAACAUGGUAUUUGUAAGUUGAAGAGCCUUUGAAAAGGCAAACACAGAAUUGUAUAAUAUAUAUUAGCUCACAGCGUAAAGAUUGCAUUGAACUUAAACUGACUGAACUGUAAAGAACAAAAACGACGUUUCAGGUUUUAACUCGGUUUGGCCACUUCCCCGGCCCUCAUGUGCUGGGGAACUGGAGGUUGCAGUGAUGAAAACAGUGAGAAGACAGUGAACAUCGCUAUGCACCCACACGUCCGGCCGAGAACGUUCUGACGAGAGCCAGCCGGUUUUUGGAAGGGCCGAGGUGACCCGAAUUCAGGAACAGGGAGACCCGGGCAUGAUGGCGUCCCGCCCCAGCAUGAGACCUCCCGGGGCUGUCUUUGUCCUGGCUGCUUCCUGCAGCUGGGCCUGCCUCGGGGCUGCAGCGAGGCUGGCGGUCAGCAGUGUCCCUGCCACUGGCCAAGGCAGACCCCACCGUGUCUGCUGAGAAGCAGCCCUUCCUGCGCCCAAGGUCUAGGCCUCUGGGAGGCAGCUAACCAUUCACACAGCAGAGCUGAUAAACGUGUCAGUGUCUGCCAGAAGCCAAGCUGGUUCCCGUAUACAGAUGACAUAUUUGCAUUUUAAUUGGCUCUUCUGUGGACUCUAAACCUAGUUCCAAAGGAGGACAACUCAGGCUGGGAAUUUCAAAUAUGCAGCAGAUGCUGAUGGGAGAGGAGUUGCAUAGCCAGACUCUUGAGAGAUCUCAAGUGACAGCACCUAGGCAUGGCUACUUCAUCUUUUUCUUUGCAUAAGGAUAAUUCUUCCAAUGGUGAGAUGUUUAAUACCAGGAAGCAGAGUUCUGCAAUAAUUGGAGAUCCUGGAUCCCACUGACUCUCCUAACUAGAAGGAACAGAAAAUGAAAGUGUGAAGCAUGGAGCUGCAGCAGCCAUCUUAGGACCAUGAGGGGAGCUGACCUAUGACAUUGAAGGGGACAGGCCAGUACACUGAAGAUGAAAUGGCAAGAACUUAAGUCCUUGAUGACCCAAUUUGACUGGCUCCCACUUAGAGAAUCUUUGCAUCCUUAAGGACAAUCUACUUGUUUCCACUUGGACAGCUUGAUGAGGAAGAGAACGAACUCCUGGAAAGCUCGUACUCACAGCCAAGGAGAGCCAAGUGAAAAGUUGGUUCCAUUUUCCCCAGAGAGUAACAGUUCAUUUAAUUCCAGCAAUAAACUGGCUCCAGGGAGAAAGGACUGUUUAAAGGCUAGACAGCAGCCAAUGAGAUGUCCUGAUACGAGAGCUUGGCAGAAAAGGAGGACCUUCUGCAGGAUGGUGUCUGGCUGACUCGGACUGUGAGACGUGCUGAGGUAAUUUGUAAGAAAAAAGAGGAAGGAGAGACAGUCAUGAUAUCGGUGGAAGUCUAGAGUCGCAAGCAAAAGACACCUGUUGUUGAGAGGCCAGCAUGAUAACCAGGUAUCUGUGUUGUAUCCCAAAUGCCAGUUGGUUUUCUUAUCUCCUAUUCUCUCACUUCUCCAUGUAACUUUAUCGUAAGCCCCCAGACUGAGGAAACAUGAUUAGAACUCUGUUUCUGGCCCCCACCCCGUAUGUCCAUAUCCUGACCCCCAGCACCUGUGAAUGUUACUUUAUAGGGCAAAAGGGACUUUGAAGAUGCGAUGAAAGAUUUUGAGAUGGACAAACUGUCCUGGAUUUUCCGGU